RNAcentral lists this ribosomal RNA (307 nucleotides) under uncultured ciliate. Its description in RNAcentral is "SSU rRNA". It matches the Rfam family "Eukaryotic small subunit ribosomal RNA", at positions 342 to 648 of the family's 1831-position model. Lineage: Eukaryota; Ciliophora. The record is from RNAcentral.
UACCAUGGCAGUCACGGGUAACGGGGAAUUAGGGUUCGAUUCCGGAGAGGGAGCCUGAGAAAUGGCUACCACUUCUAAGGAAGGCAGCAGGCGCGUAAAUUACCCAAUCCUGAUUCAGGGAGGUAGUGACAAGAAAUAACAACUCGGGUCCCUCUGGGACUGCGAGAUUGCAAUGAGAACAAUUUAAACCACUUAUCCAGGAACAAUUGGAGGGCAAGUCUGGUGCCAGCAGCCGCGGUAAUUCCAGCUCCAAUAGCGUAUAUUAAAGUUGUUGCAGUUAAAAAGCUCGUAGUUGAAUUUCUGGCCA